AAAAACAUUGCCUCUCGACUCAACAAUGAGAGGUUCAUCCUGCCCAAUGACAACAUAGUUCAAUGGCCGCGGUACCCUGACCGUGCAAAGGUAGCAUAAUCACUUGCCCCUUAAUUAGGGGCUGGCAUGAAAGGACACACGAAAGCUUCCCUGUCUCACAAUAACAAAUAAAAAUUAAUCUUCAAGUGAAAAAGCUUGAAUGAAACUGUAGGACAAGAAGACCCCGUUGAGCUUUAUUCUCUAUAGACUAAAUCAAAUAUUAAAUACAUCAUAAACCUAAAAAGAAUUUAGUUGGGGUGACUAAGGAACACCGAAAACUUCCUUUUAUUAAUUAGGACCAUUCUCCAUACAAAUUGACCCAUUACACAUGAUCAAAAAAAUAAGCUACCACAGGGAUAACAGGCUAAUCUUUCUCAAGAGCCCAAAUUGUCAGAAAGGAUUGGCACCUCGAUGUUGGCUUAGGGGCCCCUAAUGGUGCAGAAGCCAUAAAUGGUAGGUUUGUUCAACCUUUAAAACCCUACAUGAUCUGAGUC
Molecule: ribosomal RNA, 533 nt
Filed under: Lamellibrachia sp. 2 SP-2014
Lineage: Eukaryota; Metazoa; Annelida; Polychaeta; Sabellida; Siboglinidae
Description: partial 16S ribosomal RNA
Rfam family: Bacterial large subunit ribosomal RNA
Source: RNAcentral